UGAGUUUGCAGAACAUGCAACCCUAGUUGCCAGAGCUGCUGUAGAACUUUCAAGGCAAUAUUGUGUUGAUGAUGGUGGUUCUUGCCACUUUGGUUUCAAGGAUGAUAGGUUGGAACAUGGGCCAUCAUUUCCUGGAGAUGGUAAUGGUAAUUGUUUUGUUCGCAGGCAGAAUUGGAACAUGAAAUUUAAGGAUGCUACCUCUACUGCUUAAGCAGCUGCUGAGUUUGCAGAACAUGCAACCCUAGUUGCCAGAGCUGUUUUAGAACUUUCAAGGCAAUAUUGUGUUGAUGAUGGUGGUUAAUGCCACUUAGGAUUCAAGGAUGAAAUGUUGGAAUAUGGGAAUUCGUUUCUUGGAGAUGGUAAUUUUUCUAUUUGUAGGCAGAAUUGGAACAUGAAAUUUAAGGAUGCUACCUCUGCUGCUCAAGCAGCGACUGAGUUUGCAGAACAUGCAAGCCUAGCUGCCAUUGCUGUUGUAGAACUUUCAAGGAAAUAUUGUGUUGAUGGUGGUGGUUCAUGCAACUUAGGUUUCAAGGAUGAAAGGUUGGAACAUGGGCAAUCAUUUCCUUGAAAUGGUAAUGGUAAUUAUUCUGUUGGCAAGCAGAAUUGGAACAGGAUAUUUAAGGAUGUUAUCUCUGCUACUCAAGAAGUGACUGAGUUUGCAGAACAUGCAAGCCUAGCUGCCAGAGCUGUUGUAGAACUUUCAAGGCAAUAUUGUGUUGAUGAUAGUGGUUCAUGCCACUUAGGUU
RNAcentral lists this long non-coding RNA (746 nucleotides) under Nicotiana tabacum (common tobacco). RNAcentral's name for it is "long non-coding RNA (NTAB_LNC010946)". Lineage: Eukaryota; Viridiplantae; Streptophyta; Magnoliopsida; Solanales; Solanaceae. The record is from RNAcentral.